CAAGUCGAACGCCCUGCGCAAGCAGGGAGUGGCGGACGGGUGAGUAACACAUGGGUACCUGCCCCGAGGUGAGGAAUACCGGCGAGAAAUCGCCGACAAUACCGCAUACGUUCCUCCGGGAACAAAGCUCGCAAGGGCGCCUUGGGAUGGGCCUGUGGCCGAUUAGCUGGUUGGUGAGGUAAGAGCUCACCAAGGCGACGAUCGGUAGCUGGUCUGAGAGGAUGGUCAGCCACACUGGGAUUGAGAACGGCCCAGACUCCUACGGGGGGCAGCAGUGAGGAAUUUUCGGCAAUGGGCGAAAGCCUGACCGAGCAACGCCGCGUGCAGGAGGACGCUUUUCGGAGUGUAAACUGCUUUUCUUGGGGACGAGCAAGGACGGUACCCAAGGAACAAGCCCCGGCUAACUACGUGCCAGCAGCCGCGGUAAUACGUAGGGGGCGAGCGUUGUCCGGAGUUACUGGGCGUAAAGCGCACGCAGGCGGUUUUGUACGUCUGGAGUGACAGUUCCCGGCUCAACUGGGAAAGGUCUUCGGAAACGGCGAGACUUGAGGGCUUCAGAGGGACACGGAAUUCCGGGUGGAGUGGUGAAAUGCGUAGAGAUCCGGAGGAACACCAAUGGCGAAGGCAGUGUCCUGGGAAGCAUCUGACGCUCAGGUGCGAAAGCUAGGGGAGCGAACAGGAUUAGAUACCCUGGUAGUCCUAGCCGUAAACGAUGACCACUAGGUGUGGGAGGUAUCGACCCCUUCCGUGCCGUCGCAAACGCAGUAAGUGGUCCGCCUGGGGAGUACGGUCGCAAGAUUAAAACUCAAAGGAAUUGACGGGGACCCGCACAAGCAGCGGAGCGUGUGGUUUAAUUC
Molecule: ribosomal RNA, 857 nt
Filed under: uncultured Bacillota bacterium
Lineage: Bacteria; Bacillati; Bacillota
Description: bacterial SSU rRNA
Rfam family: Bacterial small subunit ribosomal RNA
Source: RNAcentral